RNAcentral lists this ribosomal RNA (484 nucleotides) under uncultured bacterium. Its description in RNAcentral is "partial 16S ribosomal RNA". It matches the Rfam family "Bacterial small subunit ribosomal RNA", at positions 28 to 507 of the family's 1533-position model. The record is from RNAcentral.
AUUGAACGCUGGCGGCAUGCUUUACACAUGCAAGUCGAACGGCAGCGCGGGCUUCGGCCUGGCGGCGCGUGGCGAACGGGUGAGUAAUGCAUCGGAACGUGCCCAGUAGUGGGGGAUAGCCCGGCGAAAGCCGGAUUAAUACCGCAUACGACCUGAGGGUGAAAGCGGGGGACCGAAAGGCCUCGCGCUAUUGGAGCGGCCGAUGUCGGAUUAGCUAGUUGGUGGGGUAAAGGCUUACCAAGGCGACGAUCCGUAGCUGGUCUGAGAGGACGACCAGCCACACUGGGACUGAGACACGGCCCAGACUCCUACGGGAGGCAGCAGUGGGGAAUGGUGGACAAUGGGGGCAACCCUGAUCCAGCCAUGCCGCGUGCGGGAAGAAGGCCUUCGGGUUGUAAAGCGCUUUUGUUGGGGAAGAAAUGCUCUGGGCUAAUACCACGGGGGGAUGACGGUACCGGAAGAAUAAGCACCGGCUAACUACGUG